RNAcentral lists this ribosomal RNA (460 nucleotides) under uncultured bacterium. Its description in RNAcentral is "partial 16S ribosomal RNA". It matches the Rfam family "Bacterial small subunit ribosomal RNA", at positions 338 to 795 of the family's 1533-position model. The record is from RNAcentral.
CCUACGGGAGGCAGCAGUGAGGAAUAUUGGUCAAUGGGCGCGAGCCUGAACCAGCCAAGCCGCGUGAAGGAUGAAUGCCCUACGGGUUGUAAACCUCUUUUAUAAAGGAAUAAAGUGAGGCACGAGUGCCUUUUUGUAUGUACUUUAUGAAUAAGGAUCGGCUAACUCCGUGCCAGCAGCCGCGGUAAUACGGAGGAUCCGAGCGUUAUCCGGAUUUAUUGGGUUUAAAGGGAGCGUAGAUGGGUUGUUAAGUCAGUUGUGAAAGCUUGCGGCUCAACCGUAACAGUGCAAUUGAUACUGGCGGGCUUGAGUACAGUUGAGGUAGGCGGAAUGCGUGGUGUAGCGGUGAAAUGCUUAGAUAUCACGAAGAACUCCGAUUGCGAAGGCAGCUUACUAAACUGACACUGACAUUGAUGCUCGAAAGUGUGGGUAUCAAACAGGAUUAGAUACCCCUGUAGUC